GUCUGCAACUUUACUUCUAAUGAGCUCACUGCAAGAAUACUAUAAUUGCUGAAAAUUUUGGCUUUUAAAGCUUUAAAGGGAGUGUUGCCGCACUUUUUACUGCUUAACAACAAAGGAAUCUUAAUGUAUACCUCAGCCAUGGAUUGAGGUACUUCACAGCACUCUGCUGAUGUCAAUGAUGCUCAGGCAAGGACAAAUAAGUAAGAAAAACAGAGCCAUACAAGUAAUACUUAGAAGUUAAGCG
This is a long non-coding RNA of Terrapene triunguis (Three-toed box turtle), 244 nucleotides long. RefSeq lists it as uncharacterized. The transcript is spliced from 3 exons. The record is from RefSeq and is a predicted model, not a curated record. Lineage: Eukaryota; Metazoa; Chordata; Testudines; Emydidae.